Long non-coding RNA from Talpa occidentalis (Iberian mole), 1275 nucleotides. RefSeq lists it as uncharacterized. The record is from RefSeq and is a predicted model, not a curated record. NCBI's taxonomy places the organism in Eukaryota, Metazoa, Chordata, Mammalia, Eulipotyphla, Talpidae. The transcript has 3 exons.
GCGGGGUGGAGAACCGAACUUAAGAGGCCAGCACCGGACCCCCUAGUUCCUCUGUGUGGGAAGAGGCUGGGACCUCAGGGAUGUUGGCUAGUGGUGCGCCGGGUUGGGCCUUCUACGCAUUUGACCCUCCUCUGCAUCUCUGCGUGCCCUGUACGAGUUCGAGUUCGAUCCCCGGCCAGGGAGGUGACCCACGUGGCCCAGUAGACCUCUCCUGUCUUGCCCGCUGUUCCCCUCAUGCUGCACUGACUGCCGAUAACUUCAUAGUGCUGGGUCUUAAGGCCCUAUCCAUUUGAUUUGUAUUGACAGUAAGACAUUAAAUUGUAUUGACAGUAAGCUACAUUGUGGAUAUAAACUCAAAUGUGCAUUAAGGAUUAGUUUUAGGUUCAUGACUCAUUCUGGGCUGAGGCAAUAACAAACCAGAUAUGAUAGUCAUUGAGAUACUGAAUAUAAAAAGAGGAAUGGAGGCUGAUAAGUAGUAACACCAAUAUUUAAGAGGAGAAAGCUGAAAGCUAUAAACAGUAAAAAAAAAAAAAAUGAACAAAUAAAGAAUGGGUUGGAAUAUCAUGCAUUAUAGAAACCAAGAGAGAUAAAAAUUUCAGGAAUUACUCAGUCAAGGGAAAGAAGGAAGUUGUUAACCUACUAUUCACUUACUCGACUUUUUAUUGAGCACCUACUAUGUGGCAGAUACUGUUCCAACUUUGAAUAGAACAAAGACACCCCAAUCCAUGGAGCUUACAUUCUUGAGAGGCUUAUAUUGAUUUUCCCCAUGGACUCCAGACCUGUUGAUCCAUUGGCUUCCUGGACAUUUCCUCAUGGGUGUCUCACAGAAUUCACACUGGAGAGAAACCCUAUGAAUGUUAUGAGUAUGGACAAACCUUCAGUCAAACUUCACACCUUGUCACACACCAAAGAAUCCAUAGCAGAGAGAAACCCUUCAAAUGUAAUGAAUGUCAGAAGACCUUCAGGCAGUGUUCAUGCCUUACUGAACACCAGAGACUCCAUGGGGAGAGAAACCUAUGAAUACUGAUGAAUGUGGGAAAUCCUUCAGGGGACGCACAGAUUUUCUUAAACAUCAGAGACUACAAACUGGGAAGGAACUCAAAUGUGAAAAAGUCUGCACUUCUCAGCAAAAUAAGCCAGAAAGAAAAAGAAAAAUACCAGAUGGUCUCACUCAAAACAGGAAUCUAGAAAACCUAAAUAAGGGACCAGGAAAAAGAAUAACUAUAAGAAAGAAAAAAAUCAAAAUCAACAAACAACUAUGAACCAGAGACACAC